Molecule: ribosomal RNA, 374 nt
Filed under: uncultured organism
Description: partial 16S ribosomal RNA
Rfam family: Bacterial small subunit ribosomal RNA
Source: RNAcentral
GUAGGUGGCAAGCGUUGUCCGGAAUUAUUGGGCGUAAAGCGCGCGCAGGCGGGUCCUUUAAGUCUGAUGUGAAAGCCCACGGGCUCAACCGUGGAGGGUCAUUGGAAACUGGGGGACUUGAGUACAGAAGAGGAAAGCGGAAUUCUAAGUGUAGCGGUGAAAUGCGUAGAGAUUUGGAGGAACACCAGUGGCGAAGGCGGCUUUCUGGUCUGUAACUGACGCUGAGGCGCGAAAGCGUGGGGAGCAAACAGGAUUAGAUACCCUGGUAGUCCACGCCGUAAACGAUGAGUGCUAAGUGUUAGGGGGUUUCCGCCCCUUAGUGCUGCAGCUAACGCAUUAAGCACUCCGCCUGGGGAGUACGGCCGCAAAGGCUG